AAACAACUCUCAGCAACGGAUAUCUUGGCUCUUGCAACGAUGAAGAACGCAGCGAAAUGCGAUACGUAGUGUGAAUUG
Molecule: ribosomal RNA, 78 nt
Filed under: Sarmentypnum exannulatum
Lineage: Eukaryota; Viridiplantae; Streptophyta; Bryopsida; Hypnales; Amblystegiaceae
Description: partial 5.8S ribosomal RNA
Rfam family: 5.8S ribosomal RNA
About the family: 5.8S ribosomal RNA (5.8S rRNA) is a component of the large subunit of the eukaryotic ribosome. It is transcribed by RNA polymerase I as part of the 45S precursor that also contains 18S and 28S rRNA.
Source: RNAcentral